RNAcentral lists this ribosomal RNA (1188 nucleotides) under Triticum aestivum (bread wheat). RNAcentral's name for it is "partial small subunit ribosomal RNA". The record is from RNAcentral. Lineage: Eukaryota; Viridiplantae; Streptophyta; Magnoliopsida; Poales; Poaceae.
GUGUAUAGAGGAGGCGGUGAGAGGGAGGGAGGAGCAUUCGGCGGCGUGACGUAGAGCGGAAGCUCCGGCCGUUGGGAUCGCGGCGGCGGCUGAGCGGGCGCAGUUCGCAGGAACGGCGGGCGGGUCGGAUAGCGGCGGCCGCCGAGUGGGCGUAGGAACGGUGGGGCGAAGGUAGGGGAAGUAGUGGGACGGCAGCGGGAGGGGUACGUGCGGAGAUGGGUCGUGGCGGCGGGGGUUUAGAACAUGAGCAUCUCGGCCUGCGGUGGUUUAGAGCAUGAGCGCGACGGGGUGGGUGUGAAGGCUCUGUGCGGCGGCGGUUAGGGGUAGGUGUGACGUGGCCGUAGGGAGUGGGACUCGGCGGCGGAGGGUAGGGGUAGAGGAAGGUGCGGCGUGGUCGUAGGGGUCAGGUCGCGGCGGUGGGGUAAGGGGUUAGGGAUAGGGGCGGGGACGAAGCGGAGUGUCACGUCGGGCCACACUGUCGAGGAGACAAGCAAGCACGAUGGUGGACCACGUUGACGGUGACGACAAGCAGACAACGACGACGAGGAGACAAGACGGGAGACGGUGCCGAAGUUGAACACAAGCAGUUGACUUCGUCGUCGUCGUCGUUGUCGAUCGGAGUCAGCGUGUAUCUCCGACGUUGACUCGAGAAAAGAAAAAACCAGCCAGAAAUGUCCAAUUGGUCGGAUUUGACUAGAACUUUCUGUUCAAAACUCUAGUUUCAACCGUUCCCUUCUUCAUAGUUCGACGUUGGUAGUUAUUGGCUUCUUCACGGGAACGUCGGAAAACGUUCCCAGCUUUAAAUCAUGUUCGUUUGGUAUUACCUGUUCUCAAAGUUUUACUACUCCAACUUCUACUCCUGUAUAAACUCUAACCCCACAAGCAUUUCAAUACGUCUUCGUUGGUACCGUCGGGUAUCGUCAAGGGUGUCGAUCUUCCAGUGGUCGUAUUACGGAAACGUAAGUGUUCAAAGUUCUCCACACAAACCACUCCGAUUUUCCUAGAAGACGACCCUAUACAAAGAUGGAUUUUGGAUAAAACGUGAAAAAAGAUACUACAUUAUGAAACUGAAUACUUGGAUGUUGACAUACGUAAAUCUGGACUACCUACCAACACGAAAACCGACAGGACCUGAACACUUGGAUAUAUACAUACCUAAUACAUACCUACCUCUGAACACUUAGAUAC